RNAcentral lists this ribosomal RNA (501 nucleotides) under uncultured bacterium. RNAcentral's name for it is "partial 16S ribosomal RNA". It matches the Rfam family "Bacterial small subunit ribosomal RNA", at positions 30 to 523 of the family's 1533-position model. The record is from RNAcentral.
AUUGAACGCUGGCGGCAUGCCUUACACAUGCAAGUCGAACGGCAGCACGGGUGCUUGCACCUGGUGGCGAGUGGCGAACGGGUGAGUAAUACAUCGGAACGUACCGUAUCGUGGGGGAUAACGCAGCGAAAGUUGCGCUAAUACCGCAUACGCCCUGAGGGGGAAAGCGGGGGACCGUAAGGACUCGCGCGAUUAGAGCGGCCGAUGUCUGAUUAGCUUGUUGGUGAGGUAAAAGCUCACCAAGGCGAUGAUCAGUAGCUGGUCUGAGAGGACGAUCAGCCACACUGGGACUGAGACACGGCCCAGACUCCUACGGGAGGCAGCAGUGGGGAAUUUUGGACAAUGGGGGCAACCCUGAUCCAGCAAUGCCGCGUGAGUGAAGAAGGCCUUCGGGUUGUAAAGCUCUUUUGUCAGGGAAGAAACAGCAGCUCUAACACAGUCUGCGAAUGACGGUACCUGAAGAAUAAGCACCGGCUAACUACGCGCCAGCAGCCGCGGUAA